AUGCCCUUAACUGACAACAAAUUUGACCAUAGAUCUAUGACCCUCGUGAAAUUUGAAAUGUUUCCGUUUAUCUUAGACCAAGCAGCUAGAUACGAGAUGUAUCUUCUGGCUCUACUUUGGAGAUUCAUCAUGUAACACAACAGUCACAAACAGCCUACCUUGCUAAUACAGGUAGCUGACAAUUUGGCUACAAUUUAUUUACAAUGAGGAUGAUGUGUUUUCUAUUUUACAUAUAAGGUUAAGUCUUAAGUGGAUGGCAGCAUAAAACACCAAAUGUAAAUAGUCAAAGUUACAUUUACAAACGAGGAAAUGCGAAAUGGAGCGUAAGGCUCGAAAAGAAUAAAGUAAGAAUUUAUUUUACUACUCUUUUUGCAGAUUUGAUAAA
Daphnia pulex (common water flea) is the source of this 385-nucleotide long non-coding RNA. RefSeq lists it as uncharacterized. The transcript has 2 exons. Lineage: Eukaryota; Metazoa; Arthropoda; Branchiopoda; Diplostraca; Daphniidae. The record is from RefSeq and is a predicted model, not a curated record.